AUGUCUUCCUCCUCCUCCUCCCUCGCCAUGGCCACGCCCUCUCUCACCUCCCUCGGUCACACCAUCACGGAAAAACUUACUCAUGAAAACUUCCUAGUGUGGAAGGCGCAUGUCCUCCCGCACGUCAGGGCUGCGACGAUGAUGGGUUACCUCGAUGGCUCGAUCAAGGAACCUGUUGCUGUCAUUGUCACCAAGAAGGAAACCGCCGGGAAGAAGGAGACCACCUCCACGCCGAACCCAGAGCAUGCAAUCUGGGUCACCCAAGAUCAACAGGUGCUCACCUUUUUGCUUGCCUCCUUGUCCCGCGAGGUUCUGAUGCAGGUCUCCAACCACACCACAGCCGCGGGCGUCUGGCAAGCCCUGGUCGAGAGCUUCUCUGCGCAGUCCAGGGCGCGCCAGAUCCAGCUCCGAUCGGUGAUCGGAAACGCUCGCAAGGGCGACCUCUCUGCUGCUGCUUACUUCACCAAGAUGAAGGGGCUAGCGGACGAGCUCGCUGCUGCAAGGAAACCCCUCGAUGAAGAUGAUGUCGUGUCGCACAUCUUGGAGGGUCUCAUGCAUGGGCCUGACUACAACGGGUUCGUCACCGCCAUCUCCACGCGCGCUGUCACCGAUCAACCGAUCGGCCUCAGCGAACUGUUUUUGCUUCUGCUCUCUGCGAAAGCCUGGAUCGCUACCCAGAACGCCGCCUACACUGCUCACCACUCCGCCAACCUCGCUGCGAAAGGUGGUCGCGGUGGCUACGGCGGCGGACGUAGCGGUCAGGGUGGCGACGCAGUGGCUACAACAUCAACAACCACUUCGACAACUCGGGCAACGGUGGCGGCGGUGGUGCACCGCGCCAACCGGGUGGUGAUUGCGGUGACCGCGAGCGCUGCCAAAUCUGCAAGGAGGACGGCCACGGUGCGUGGCGCUACAGGAAGCGGUUAG
RNAcentral lists this ribosomal RNA (927 nucleotides) under Triticum aestivum (bread wheat). Its description in RNAcentral is "partial small subunit ribosomal RNA". Lineage: Eukaryota; Viridiplantae; Streptophyta; Magnoliopsida; Poales; Poaceae. The record is from RNAcentral.